RNAcentral lists this ribosomal RNA (774 nucleotides) under uncultured Neocallimastigales. RNAcentral's name for it is "partial large subunit ribosomal RNA". It matches the Rfam family "Eukaryotic large subunit ribosomal RNA", at positions 22 to 621 of the family's 3401-position model. Lineage: Eukaryota; Fungi; Neocallimastigomycota; Neocallimastigomycetes; Neocallimastigales. The record is from RNAcentral.
AUAUCAGUCAUGCAUAGCAUAUCAAUAAGCGGAGGAAAAGAAACUAACAAGGAUUCCCUUAGUAACGGCGAGUGAAGCGGGAAGAGCUCAAAUUUGAAAUCUUCAAGGUUUUACCUUGACGAAUUGUAGUUUAAAGAAGUGUUUUCUGUUGAAGUUUUGGUAAAAGUUCUUUGGAAUAGGACAUCAUAGAGGGUGAGAAUCCCGUAUUUGACCAUUACUUUCAGCUUUGUGAUACGCUUUCAAAGAGUCGGAUUGUUUGGGAAUGCAGUCCAAAAUGGGUGGUAAAUUUCAUCUAAAGCUAAAUAUUGGCGAGAGACCGAUAGCGAACAAGUACCGUGAGGGAAAGAUGAAAAGAACUUUGAAAAGAGAGUUAAACAGUACGUGAAAUUGUCAAAAGGGAAGCGUUUGACACCAGUGUUGUUUUCUCGAAAAUCAAUUAAAAAGAGUUGGAUUUUGUGUUGUAUUGACUUUAUCGGCUUUCUUCACUCUUUUCCAGCUUUUUUUAAUGCACUUUUCGUUUAACAAGUCAACAUCAGUUUCUUUUGUUGUAAAAAGGUCAUUGGAAGGUGGCUUUCUCUUCGGAGAAAGUGUUUAUAGCCUUUGACUCAUGCAAUCGGAGAGACUGAGGUCUGCAGCGUAGAUCCUUCGGGGUUAGAUACAUUUGUGCUAAGUUAUAGCUUUUCAUAGACAACUUGUUGACUAUGUUUAGUCUUGUAGCUUACUCGCUUAUGCUAUUUUACCUACGCUUAGGAUGUUGAACUCUAUCACACACAG